AUUGAAUAUGAAGGACUACUUUUGAGAUUAGUACAGGUAUAGAACAAAAGGGAAUUGGGAAGAGAUCAGUGUGGAGGAUUGUUUUUACAGUAGAGAUGUGCAUAACACAAUUUUUGGGAUUUGCGUAAUAUGUUAAGAAUAUGUAAAUGGCAAACAUUAAUUGAACAGUGGAUGUUCUGUCCAAUAUUUUCCUUGUUAUUGCUGCUAAAAAUGACCUCAUGGAUGUUGGGUUUGUGGGGACUGGUGACAGGAACUUCUGCGUUUUUUUUUUGUUUUGUUUUUUGUUUUUGUUACAGUUUCACUAUUCUGACUUAGAGAAAUGCAAGAUGCUCCUUCAAGAUCUUUACGGUAAGAGUAAUGUGGAGGGAAGAUGUUUGAGCUUUGCUUGUCGGUAAAAUGUUAAGAAAUUGCUGGGGGAUGUUUUGACUGUUAACUUUACAGAGAUGAUUCAGAUGACUAAAAGAUGCACAGGGCUACAAGAAGAACACGGUGCUUGGAUGCUUUGCCCAGUGUGCACUUGCUGUGAAGUCGUAAGACGCAUCUGCGGCAUGACUUGGUAUGUUAAAGACUUCUUUUAGAGGUGCUGUGUUAGUAUUAGAGUGUUGCAGGCCAGUUUAGAGUGACAUUUGUAUUGUGAAACUCUGCGUCUCAUCUGGUACGUUGCACUCUGAUGACUUGAUGAUAGUAUAUACUAAGAAGAAUUUAAAUGUUGUGUUCUGAAAUCUUUGCUGCUCUGGUGGCAAGUUGUUUCUUUUUGUUUUUCUUUUUUUUUUUUCUCUCUCUUUUUUUUUUUUUACAUUUCAGCUAGAGGACUUUGUGGCGAAAAACCAUAACAGUAGAAAGGGUAUUAAGACCAGCCAGACUAAUGAGAAGUAGUGUGUGUCUGCAGUGCGCAUGAGUUGAGAAAGCCAUUCCUUAUCUGAUGUGGCCUUGUUUACGUUGUGUGUCACAUGCCAAUUGAACAUUUCUUCAGAUGAGGGAGAUGGAGAAAAUCAUUCUGAACCAUAAUCAUUUUUAGUGUUUCUUUCCAGCCUUUCCCAGGGAGAGUCAAAAGGAAAGGCCCAGAGAAAAGUACACCAUCUAGUAAGAAUUCUUUGCCGACCACUUCAGCUAAGUUGCGGGUGCAGCAUUGAAUAUGAAGGACUACUUUUGAGAUUAGUACAGGUAUAGAACAAAAGGGAAUUGGGAAGAGAUCAGUGUGGAGGAUUGUUUUUACAGUAGAGAUGUGCAUAACACAAUUUUUGGGAUUUGCGUAAUAUGUUAAGAAUAUGUAAAUGGCAAACAUUAAUUGAACAGUGGAUGUUCUGUCCAAUAUUUUCCUUGUUAUUGCUGCUAAAAAUGACCUCAUGGAUGUUGGGUUUGUGGGGACUGGUGACAGGAACUUCUGCGUGUUUUUUUGUUUUGUUUUUUGUUUUUGUUACAGUUUCACUAUUCUGACUUAGAGAAAUGCAAGAUGCUCCUUCAAGAUCUUUACGGUAAGAGUAAUGUGGAGGGAAGAUGUUUGAGCUUUGCUUGUCGGUAAAAUGUUAAGAAAUUGCUGGGGGAUGUUUUGACUGUUAACUUUACAGAGAUGAUUCAGAUGACUAAAAGAUGCACAGGGCUACAAGAAGAACACGGUGCUUGGAUGCUUUGCCCAGUGUGCACUUGCUGUGAAGUCGUAAGACGCAUCUGCGGCAUGACUUGGUAUGUUAAAGACUUCUUUUAGAGGUGCUGUGUUAGUAUUAGAGUGUUGCAGGCCAGUUUAGAGUGACAUUUGUAUUGUGAAACUCUGCGUCUCAUCUGGUACGUUGCACUCUGAUGACUUGAUGAUAGUAUAUACUAAGAAGAAUUUAAAUGUUGUGUUCUGAAAUCUUUGCUGCUCUGGUGGCAAGUUGUUUCUUUUUGUUUUUCUUUUUUCUCUCUCUCUCUCUUUUUUUUUUUUUACAUUUCAGCUAGAGGACUUUGUGGCGAAAAACCAUAACAGUAGAAAGGGUAUUAAGACCAGCCAGACUAAUGAGAAGUAGUGUGUGUCUGCAGUGCGCAUGAGUUGAGAAAGCCAUUCCUUAUCUGAUGUGGCCUUGUUUACGUUGUGUGUCACAUGCCAAUUGAACAUUUCUUCAGAUGAGGGAGAUGGAGAAAAUCAUUCUGAACCAUAAUCGUAAGUUUCCUGCCUAAGAUUUCAUUGAUUUCUUUAAUGGGUAUGGUCAUAUUCAGAUAGGUUUU
Long non-coding RNA from Protopterus annectens (West African lungfish), 2202 nucleotides. RefSeq lists it as uncharacterized. The transcript is spliced from 2 exons. The record is from RefSeq and is a predicted model, not a curated record. Lineage: Eukaryota; Metazoa; Chordata; Ceratodontiformes; Protopteridae.